Sorghum bicolor (sorghum) is the source of this 1141-nucleotide long non-coding RNA. RefSeq lists it as uncharacterized. The record is from RefSeq and is a predicted model, not a curated record. The transcript has 5 exons. Lineage: Eukaryota; Viridiplantae; Streptophyta; Magnoliopsida; Poales; Poaceae.
CAACUCUUCUCUUCGUUUCAUACUUUCAUUUCUGGCGACGGCCUUCUUGCUUUCCGGCGGUGUGCUGCGCUCCUGCUCCCGCCUCCCGGUGGUGCGGCGCUCAUACUGGCUGUGGCUGCUGCUGGCGGGUCUCGGCCUUGGGGCUCGGGCUCGCGCCUCACGGCCACGGGACGUGGCAUCGCGCGCGUCCGCGGCGAGCGGAGGGCGGCCGCGGCAAGCCACGAGCGUCCGCAGAGUCGGCGAGCUCCACGUCCACAGUGAGCGCGGAUCCAGCGUGCGGCGGGCGUACGUGCCUCCGUGGAGCGUGGAUCUAGGCCCCAAGCGUUCAGCAGUCAGCACUUCCCUUCCUCUUUCUAUGGCGGCAGGAAGAAGACCUUGGUUGUUGCUUCUUUGUUGACAUGUAGAUUUGCUACGCUUGUGAUGUGCGGUGCUUCGCUAGCACGUAUGGCUGCAGCACCCGUUGCUAUGUACUACAAUGUGUUCAGGUUUCUUACAGUUGUCUUGACCAUCCAGCUUCCUUGCUGCGGAAUAAGGUUAUUGCAUGACAUUGCAAUUAUUUUCUUCCACAUGCCACCCCCUGGAAACCUUGCCUCCACACUGAUAAUCAUGUUUGAGUGGAUCCUUUCAGUCUUGGUUUUAGCUGCCAGCUGUUCCGCGCUGGGAGUUGAGGUGUACAUGGACAAGGACACAGGUGCUUGCAUGUUCAUGCAACCACAGCCAUGUAGGUGGUACAAGGAGGCAGCCAUGCUGGGCUUGCUAGCAGGGGUCUUUAGCUAUACCAUCUCUUUGCUCCUGUUCUGUCUCCAGUCUUCUCGGCACACCCAACCUCCUGCCCCAGCCCCCGCUCAUGGCCACGACCAAGGCUAGGUACAGAGUCAUCCAAGGCAUGCUCAGAAACUGCCAUGAAGACAACGCUAAUUUGAAAUGAACCGGUCAAGGUAGCUUAGGUAGUUAGUAUGUUUGGUGAAAUUAGUAUGUUUUUUUUUUGAAAGGAUCACCGGGGGGGGUGAGCGCCCCACCUGAAUAAUUCCAUUGAUGCCGGCAAGCCGGUGUACGGAAUGGUUUACAAAGUAGCCUUACAAUUUGGUUUACAUGAAAAAAGUUACAGGAGAAUUAAGGAGGGAAAACGGAGCUCCAGUGA